AUCAUUUCUCGGCCUUUUGGCUAAGAUCGAAUGUCACAUCUGUUCUUAUCAGCUUAACUUAGAAUUAUUAAACCCUGAUAUCUCAUUGCUAGAAAUGACCAGAGAAAUGAGAAAUCAUUAAUCCACUGGCCCUCCUUUU
Molecule: small nuclear RNA, 139 nt
Organism: Camelus dromedarius (Arabian camel)
Lineage: Eukaryota; Metazoa; Chordata; Mammalia; Artiodactyla; Camelidae
Gene: U2
Rfam family: U2 spliceosomal RNA
About the family: U2 is a small nuclear RNA (snRNA) component of the spliceosome (involved in pre-mRNA splicing). Complementary binding between U2 snRNA (in an area lying towards the 5' end but 3' to hairpin I) and the branchpoint sequence (BPS) of the intron results the bulging out of an unpaired adenosine, on the BPS, which initiates a nucleophilic attack at the intronic 5' splice site, thus starting the first of two transesterification reactions that mediate splicing.
Source: Ensembl